This is a long non-coding RNA of Pangasianodon hypophthalmus (striped catfish), 2874 nucleotides long. RefSeq lists it as uncharacterized. Lineage: Eukaryota; Metazoa; Chordata; Actinopteri; Siluriformes; Pangasiidae. The record is from RefSeq and is a predicted model, not a curated record. The transcript is spliced from 4 exons.
UACGCGAGGUGCAGAAGAGCAGGCGGAGGGUCGGACAUCAGCAUCAUCAAAUGAUGAUCAAUAAAAUCGAUUUCUGCAUGAAGACCGUACAGGACCGGCUGUAUAUAUAGCUAUAUAGCUGAACAAGUCAAUAUAAAACAAAAACUUUGUCGUCGAGCUCAGGAUGUGCUUAUAGGCUACAGGAUUAGCACACACAUAGAAAGACACAGGGUGAGAGAGAGAGAGAGAGAGAGAGAGAGAGAGACGUGUGGAGCUACCGCCUGGCUGCAACACCUCCUCACCUACACGUUUGAUGAGGAUGCCGAAGAUGCUGCGUUAUAACCCAGAGCCGAUUUUAAGCGAAUGGAGUCCAGAGAGGAACAUCUGCUAGAAGAGAGUUGGCUCUGGUGAGUGAUUAUGGUGAGGUAUGGUGAAAUGUAACAUGAGGUAUGUGUGAGUUUACCGUUUAGUGAACAGAGUGAGGCCUACAUGUGCACCCUCACCUUACACACACCAUGUACACACUCACCUUACACACACCAUGUACACACUCACCUUACACACACCACGUGCACACAAGGCUUACACACACCAUGUACACACAAGGCUUACACACACCAUGUACACACACACCAUGUGCACACUCAACUUACACACACCUUGUACACAUUCACCUUACACACACCAUGUACACACUCACUUUCACACACACACCAUGUACACACUCACCUUACACACACCAUGUAUACACGAGGCUUACACACACCUUGUACACACACACCUUACACACAUCAUGUGCACAUGAGGCUUACACACACCUUGUACACACGAGACUUACACACACCACGUGCACACUCACCUUAAACACGCCAUGUACACACUCACCUUACACACUCAGUGAACACACUCACCUUACACACACCAUGUACACACUCACCAUACGCACACCAUGUACACACGAGGCUUACAUACACCAUGUACAUACUCACCUUACACACACCAUAUGCACACUCACCCUACAUACACCAUGUACACACGAGGCUUACACACAAUGUGCACAUUCACACACACCAUAUACAAACGAGGCUUACACACACCACGUGCACACUCAUCCUACAUACAUCAUGCACACACUCACCAUACACACACCAUGUACACACGAGUCUUACACACACCAUAUACACACGAGGCUCACACACACCAUGUACACACGAGUCUUACACACACCAUGUACACAUUCACCUUACACACACCAUAUACACACGAGGCUCACACACAUUAUAUACACACGAGUCUCACACACACCGUGUACACAUUAAUCUUGCACACACCAUGUAGCCUACGCACGAGUGUUACAGUCAGCACAGUUAGAUGUCUAUGAGCUGGUUAAGAUAAUAUUUUAAUUGCAUUUUUAGAUCGCAGACGAUUUCAUGAUUUGAUAUAUUUGUUUGUAAUAUUUCUGAAAUUGUAAGAAUGUCUUUUCUAUUCCUAAUAUAACGUUGGAAGGUCUAAAGCCCAGCUAUAAAAUUAAAAAUUAAACUUUUAAAACUUUAAUUAUUAUUAUUAUUAUUAUUAUUAUUAUUAUUAUUAUUAUUAUUUAAUGUGUGAUUAUAUUUACAGUGUGAGAUUUCUGUUUCUGUGUUUGAAAAAUAGGCCAAGAUUAGGCUUUAUGUGAAAAUAAACCUGUCUGAAAUAAUGUCUGAAAUUUCCUACAGCCCCAAUUUUUUCUUUUUCUUUUCUUUUUUUUUUUUUUUUUUUUUACGUAUUACGAAUUUAUGAAUUAUUGGAAAUGGAUCAUCGUGCUACGAUGUAAAAACAGAAGAAUUGUACAAUACUGGUUCAAACAUCUAUACCUUGACAGCUAAUUAAUAAAUAAGAGUUGUGAAUAUUAAUUUAUCGCAGUCUACAUAUAGGAUAUUUUUAGAACUGAAUCCUGAGAAGCCUGGAACAUGGGCAGAACAUGCAGGUCCACUGCUCUGAUGGCUGCAUUGCUUCACCGUGUUAAAGAUGAGCUUCCCUUUUAUUCAUAUAUCUCUGAUUUCCUUUCAGACUCCAGGCCGCGACUCCUCUGUUUGCUGUCACUCGGGCAGAAGCAGCAGUAAGCACGCAGAGGGGUUGGUUUCUGUCUUUGGUUAUCUAGCUGUAUGAGUAUAAAAACAUGUCAUAAAGCUAGAUAACCGAAAGCAGAAAUGAAUCUCAAUCUCGCGUCCAUCCUGUGAAUCUCCCAAACCAUGCGACUUCUGCACAGGUUUAACAGAGACCCGUUCCAAUCUGCAACAUGCCGUAAUGAAGUAACGUGUCAUGAACUUAGGCAGCAUGCUGUACAGAAGAAGUGACAGAUACAUAGAUGCUGAGAGGAAAACGCCUUUGUCCGUGACUGCCAUAUUUCUCCUCAUGCCAAGAGAUCUCCAGUGCCAUCUGGGGGAUAUGGGGCACUGUGCCUGUGCCACCGGCGAUGAAGCCCCAUCAUCUCCCUGGAGCCUUGGCACGAUGAAUGAGGAAGGCAGGGAGGCCAUCUUGAGGGAGAUCUCACUGAAACAGCUAAGAUGGCUGGACUGGCACACGAGAGAUGGCUGUGUAUUAAACUGCACAUUCUUGAUGUGAUAACUGCAGCAGAGGACACUGGAAAACAUGAUGCAGAAUGACAUUUUUCUUGCCAAGAAAAAAUAUAUAAUAUUUGUAUUGAGAAAAUGUGAAGCUUUUAAUAUUGACAGUCAAAUGCAUGUAUUAACACACACACAGUGUCACAAUCUGUACAGGAACUCUUGGCUUAUUGUUUUAUUUUGAGUUUGUAUCCUAUUUAUUAGACUGUAACUUCUUUGUUCUGCAAAAACAUUUGUAUGUUUUUCACUUUGUUUUACAUAUAAGAUAUGUGAAUAAAAGCUAUUUCAGAAA